Molecule: ribosomal RNA, 531 nt
Filed under: Fusarium oxysporum
Lineage: Eukaryota; Fungi; Ascomycota; Sordariomycetes; Hypocreales; Nectriaceae
Description: eukaryotic LSU rRNA
Rfam family: 5.8S ribosomal RNA (bases 178-331)
Source: RNAcentral
CUCGUUGGUGACCAGCGGAGGGAUCAUUACCGAGUUUACAACUCCCAAACCCCUGUGAACAUACCACUUGUUGCCUCGGCGGAUCAGCCCGCUCCCGGUAAAACGGGACGGCCCGCCAGAGGACCCCUAAACUCUGUUUCUAUAUGUAACUUCUGAGUAAAACCAUAAAUAAAUCAAAACUUUCAACAACGGAUCUCUUGGUUCUGGCAUCGAUGAAGAACGCAGCAAAAUGCGAUAAGUAAUGUGAAUUGCAGAAUUCAGUGAAUCAUCGAAUCUUUGAACGCACAUUGCGCCCGCCAGUAUUCUGGCGGGCAUGCCUGUUCGAGCGUCAUUUCAACCCUCAAGCACAGCUUGGUGUUGGGACUCGCGUUAAUUCGCGUUCCUCAAAUUGAUUGGCGGUCACGUCGAGCUUCCAUAGCGUAGUAGUAAAACCCUCGUUACUGGUAAUCGUCGCGGCCACGCCGUUAAACCCCAACUUCUGAAUGUUGACCUCGGAUCAGGUAGGAAUACCCGCUGAACUUAAGCAUAUAA